RNAcentral lists this ribosomal RNA (329 nucleotides) under uncultured eukaryote. RNAcentral's name for it is "partial 18S ribosomal RNA". It matches the Rfam family "Eukaryotic small subunit ribosomal RNA", at positions 1470 to 1796 of the family's 1831-position model. The record is from RNAcentral.
CCCUUAGAUGUCCUGGGCCGCACGCGCGCUACACUGAGUGUCUGAGAUACGAGUCUGCCUGGUCCGGCAAGGUCUAGGUAAUCGCUAAAAGACACAUCAUGCUUGGGAUAGAUUAUUGCAAAUAUUAAUCUUGAACGAGGAAUUCCUAGUAAGCGCAAGUCAACAGCUUGCGUUGAUUACGUCCCUGCCCUUUGUACACACCGCCCGUCGCUACUACUGAUUGGAUGUUUAAGCGAGGUUCUCGAACUGCUAGCGACUUAGCUUCGGUGAGGACGCAGUGUGGGAAGUGAACCUAGCUUUGGUGUCUAGAGGAAGUAAAAGUCGUAACA